AUGGGGGGUGGAGGGGGAGUUCCCCUCACCCACUUCAGCCUUCCAGUCUGCUCCCCCUUCCUGUACCUCUCUCUUCCAGAACCCCAGGCCAAGCACCAGAGAAGGCCUGGGAGUGAGCAAGGUGCCCAUGUUGCUUCUGUGGAUCAUCCUCCUGCUUGUACAGCCCUGGGAGGGCCUGGGAACGCCCCUCUGCUGGAGGGGCGUUUUUACUUUCUUGCAGCCCUCUGAAGAUACUAGUGAGUGGGGAGCAGAGCCAGCAGACAGGUGAAAACAAAAAUGAUGACACCCUCUACACCCCAGAUGAUCUCUCAAUACCAGGUCACUCUGUCCCUACUGUGUGUCCUGCUGAGACUCUAGGCUGCUUCAGGUUGGAGCUGUCUGUGAUUGGGUUUGAGGAGGGACCAUCUAUGGGAACUGCUGUGUUCCAGCUACAGUGCCUGCUGGAUCCCCUGGGGUCCCGGCU
Molecule: small RNA, 463 nt
Filed under: Pongo abelii (Sumatran orangutan)
Lineage: Eukaryota; Metazoa; Chordata; Mammalia; Primates; Hominidae
Description: processed transcript
Source: RNAcentral